This is a long non-coding RNA of Canis lupus familiaris (dog), 1147 nucleotides long. RefSeq lists it as uncharacterized. NCBI's taxonomy places the organism in Eukaryota, Metazoa, Chordata, Mammalia, Carnivora, Canidae. The record is from RefSeq and is a predicted model, not a curated record. The transcript is spliced from 3 exons.
CGCCACCAACCUGGGAGGCCCGCCGGGAGGAGGCUGCGGUCCGGCCUCUUCGAAAGGGCCUGCCUCCGGCCCCAGGGGCUGUGGUGACAGUGCUGAGCCUCCCCUGGAGGAGUGUCGCCCUCCCUAGGGGGCGGGGGCUGCAGCCUGGCUGGCCCUGCUCUGGGCCCCAGCUGAUGACUGAGUCGCCGACUUCUGCUGAUCCGUGGGAAGCAGAGAGGACGGGGAGCGGGGAGUGGUUUCUCUUCCCAGCCUCUGCUCCGGGGGAGCUCUGGACGCCAGGGGGGGGGGUUGGAGGCGCUGGGUCCUGGCGGGGCUCCGGGGCCAGGCCACCUGCCCCUCUCACCCGUUUCACACCUCGUCACUGUUCGUCCGGACACCUGUCCGCAGCCCGGACCCCGGGGCCCCGCUGACAACGGAGAAGCUCGAGGCCUGUGGCCCGGGAACCCCUGGGCGGGCGCUCCUGGCAGCGGCUCCCAGGACGCGGGCUUCAAGGUCAGGCUGACGCUGGCCGACCUUGAGAGCCCCCCAGCUCUCGGCAGGCUCAGCGAGCUCCAUCCCAUUAAGAAGCCGUUAGGAGCGCCAUCUGGUUCACUGCGCCCCGCUCCGCGAUCGAUGGCCGCUGGGCCAGUCUGAGCCCGGGGACCGGCGCUGCAAGGACUCCUUCAAUCUGCACAGCGACCGUGAAGCAGGGCUGUCCUUGAUCCCAUCUUGCCGCUGGGAAAGGAGGCACAGAGAGGUCAAGCACUCACCCAAGGCCACCCAGCUGCCUUGAAAGGAAGGCAGCGAAAGGAGAGCUCACCCAUUUCACAGAGGAGGAAAUCAAGACCCAGAGCAGUGGAUGUGAGCCUGCCGACUGCCUCCAGAGCUCACGUCUUGUCCCAAUGGAUGGAACAUCCUCAACUAUUUAACUCGGCGUUGAGGGGCUACCACCUACAGAGUCUCGUCGGACAACCAGGAGGAUGCAGAUCCACGGGGAAUACAGAACCAUUGGAAGCAUCCAGAGAGGGGCACCCGGAGGGCUCAGCCUUGAGCGUCUGCCUUGGGCUCAGGGCAUGACCCUGGGGUCCCGAGAUCGAGUCCCACGUCGGGCUCCCUGCAUGGAGCCUGCUUCUCCCUCUGCCUGUGUCUCUGCCUCUCUCUCUCUCUC